AUUGAACGCUGGCGGCAUGCCUUACACAUGCAAAUCGAACGGUAACGGGCCUUCGGGUGCCGACGAGUGGCGAACGGGUGAGUAAUACAUCGGAACGUGCCCGAUCGUGGGGGAUAACGAGGCGAAAGCUUUGCUAAUACCGCAUACGAUCUACGGAUGAAAGCAGGGGACCGCAAGGCCUUGCGCGGACGGAGCGGCCGAUGGCAGAUUAGGUAGUUGGUGGGAUAAAAGCUUACCAAGCCGACGAUCUGUAGCUGGUCUGAGAGGAUGAUCAGCCACACUGGGACUGAGACACGGCCCAGACUCCUACGGGAGGCAGCAGUGGGGAAUUUUGGACAGUGGGCGCAAGCCUGAUCCAGCCAUGCCGCGUGCAGGAUGAAGGCCUUCGGGUUGUAAACUGAUUUUGUACGGAACGAAAAGCCUUCUUUUAAUACAGGAGGGUCAUGACGGUACCGUAAGAAUAAGCACCGGCUAACUACGU
RNAcentral lists this ribosomal RNA (481 nucleotides) under uncultured bacterium. RNAcentral's name for it is "partial 16S ribosomal RNA". It matches the Rfam family "Bacterial small subunit ribosomal RNA", at positions 30 to 506 of the family's 1533-position model. The record is from RNAcentral.